UACGAAGGGGGCUAGCGUUGCUCGGAAUUACUGGGCGUAAAGCGCACGUAGGCGGCUUCUUAAGUCGGUGGUGAAAUCCUGGAGCUCAACUCCAGAACUGCCUUCGAUACUGGGAGCUCGAGUCCGGGAGAGGUGAGUGGAACUGCGAGUGUAGAGGUGAAAUUCGUAGAUAUUCGCAAGAACACCAGUGGCGAAGGCGGCUCACUGGCCCGGUACUGACGCUGAGGUGCGAAAGCGUGGGGAGCAAACAGGGAUUAAGAA
RNAcentral lists this ribosomal RNA (261 nucleotides) under uncultured bacterium. RNAcentral's name for it is "partial 16S ribosomal RNA". It matches the Rfam family "Bacterial small subunit ribosomal RNA", at positions 524 to 784 of the family's 1533-position model. The record is from RNAcentral.